GACGAACGCUGGCGGCGUGCUUAACACAUGCAAGUCGAACGGAAAGGCCCUGCUUUUGUCGGGUUCUCGAGUGGCGAACGGGUGAGUAACACGGGAGUAACCUUCCCUGUACGUGGUGAUAACUGCAAGAAACUGGUGCUAAUACCGGAUAGGAGCUCCUGCUGCAUGGGGGGGUUUGGAAAGUUUAGGCGGUUGUGGGUGUAUUCGGGGGUUAUCAGCUUGUGGGUGGGGUAGUGGCUUACCAAGGCAUUGACGGGUAGCCGGCAUGGGAGGGUGACCGGCGACCAUGGGACUACGAUACGGACCAGAGUCGUACGGGAGGCAGUAGUGGGGAAUAUUGCACAAUGGGGGGAAGCCUGAUGAAGAAACGUUGCGUGCGGGAUGAAGGUUUUCGGGUUGUAAACCGCUUUAGGCUGUGACGAAGCGUGAGUGACGGUAAUGGGUAAAGAAGCACCGGCUAACUACGUG
RNAcentral lists this ribosomal RNA (468 nucleotides) under uncultured bacterium. RNAcentral describes it as "partial 16S ribosomal RNA". It matches the Rfam family "Bacterial small subunit ribosomal RNA", at positions 28 to 507 of the family's 1533-position model. The record is from RNAcentral.